AACGAACGCUGGCGGCAGGCUUAACACAUGCAAGUCGAGCGCCCCGCAAGGGGAGCGGCAGACGGGUGAGUAACGCGUGGGAACGUACCUUUUGGUUCGGAACAACUCCGGGAAACUGGAGCUAAUACCGGAUAAGCCCUAACGGGGAAAGAUUUAUCGCCGAAAGAUCGGCCCGCGUCUGAUUAGCUAGUUGGUGAGGUAACGGCUCACCAAGGCGACGAUCAGUAGCUGGUCUGAGAGGAUGAUCAGCCACACUGGGACUGAGACACGGCCCAGACUCCUGCGGGAGGCAGCAGUGGGAAUAUUGGACAAUGGGCGCAAGCCUGAUCCAGCCAUGCCGCGUGAGUGAUGAAGGCCUUAGGGUUGUAAAGCUCUUUUGUCCGGGAAGAUAAUGACUGUACCGGAAGAAUAAGCCCCGGCUAACUUCGUG
Molecule: ribosomal RNA, 430 nt
Filed under: uncultured bacterium
Lineage: Bacteria
Description: partial 16S ribosomal RNA
Rfam family: Bacterial small subunit ribosomal RNA
Source: RNAcentral